Oncorhynchus tshawytscha (Chinook salmon) is the source of this 476-nucleotide long non-coding RNA. NCBI's taxonomy places the organism in Eukaryota, Metazoa, Chordata, Actinopteri, Salmoniformes, Salmonidae. The record is from Ensembl.
GUGACAUCACAUGUUUAUUAAGGGCACUGAUUGUUGCCAUGGCGAGUAUUGUGCAGUACAAUGAGUGGCUGGAGGAGGAGAACCGGUACAACCAGGCCAAGCUGAGUAUGCAUGACCAGGCUCUGAAGGUGUCAGCAGUGGUAGAAAGUCUGGAGAGGGAGAUGGAGCUUCUGUGUUUGAUUGGGGUUGAGGUCGACAUCAGGCCAAGCCUGGAGCUCCUCAGCAAUGCUGGAAUCAAACUGUGAAUAUAUGGAUGCUUACUGGGGAUAAGCUGGAGACAGCUACUUGUAUCGCUAAAAGCUCCCAUUUGGUGUCCAGAAGUGAAGAUUGGUCUCCAACGGUGGAGAGGCCCAUCUGGAGCUCAAUGCCUUCAGAAGGAAACACGACUGUGCUCUGGUCGUCUCUGGAGACUCCUUGGCGGUACUACAACACAACACACUUCUCACAAGCCUCUCAAGAUGGUACUGUAGAUGUAG